Molecule: ribosomal RNA, 246 nt
Filed under: uncultured bacterium
Lineage: Bacteria
Description: partial 16S ribosomal RNA
Rfam family: Bacterial small subunit ribosomal RNA
Source: RNAcentral
CGUGAGCGGCGGACGGGUGAGUAACGCGUGGGUAACCGUGCCUCAUACAGGGGAGUAACAGUUGGAAACGGACUGCUAAUACCGCAUAAGCGCACAGUACCGCAUGGUACGGUGUGAAAAACUCCGGUGGUAUGAGAUGGACCCGCGUCUGAUUAGGUAGUUGGUGGGGUAACGGCCUACCAAGCCGACGAUCAGUAGCCGACCUGAGAGGGUGACCGGCCACAUUGGGACUGAGACACGGCCCAA